AGCAGCCGCGGUAAUUCCAGCUCCAAUAGCGUAUAUUAAAGUUGUUGCAGUUAAAAAGCUCGUAGUUGAAUUUCGGGAUCUGUCCAUUGGUCGGGCCUCACGGUCCGUACUGGUGUGAUGGGUUCCUACCUUCUGAAUAACCAGCAUGCCAUUCAGUUGGUGCGCUGGGGAAGCAGAGCUAUUACCUUGAAAAAUUAGAGUGCUUAAAGCAGGCUAGUGCUUGAAUAGAUUAGCAUGGAAUAAUAAAAUAGGACGGCAUGGUUCUAUUUUGUUGGUUUCUAGGAUCACCGUAAUGAUUAAUAGGGAUAGUUGGGGGCAUUAGUAUUCAAUUGUCAGAGGUGAAAUUCUUGGAUUUAUUGAAGACUAACUUCUGCGAAAGCAUUUGCCAAGGAUGUUUUCAUUAAUCAAGAACGAAAGUUAGGGGAUCGAAGACGAUCAGAUACCGUCGUA
Molecule: ribosomal RNA, 450 nt
Filed under: uncultured Glomeromycotina
Lineage: Eukaryota; Fungi; Glomeromycota
Description: SSU rRNA
Rfam family: Eukaryotic small subunit ribosomal RNA
Source: RNAcentral